Small nucleolar RNA from Rosa chinensis, 85 nucleotides. The record is from RefSeq and is a predicted model, not a curated record. Lineage: Eukaryota; Viridiplantae; Streptophyta; Magnoliopsida; Rosales; Rosaceae.
UGCAAUUUAUGAUGCAAACUUUAACCCUUUCUGAUAAUCUUGUGAUUGUUCAGUUAAUUAUCACCAUCUUUCGGCUGAGAUUGUG